UGGGGAAUUUUGGACAAUGGGCGCAAGCCUGAUCCAGCCAUGCCGCGUGCGGGAAGAAGGCCUUCGGGUUGUAAACCGCUUUUGUCAGGGAAGAAAUCUUCUGAGUUAAUACCUCGGGAGGAUGACGGUACCUGAAGAAUAAGCACCGGCUAACUACGUGCCAGCAGCCGCGGUAAUACGUAGGGUGCAAGCGUUAAUCGGAAUUACUGGGCGUAAAGCGUGCGCAGGCGGUUUUGUAAGACAGAGGUGAAAUCCCCGGGCUCAACCUGGGAACUGCCUUUGUGACUGCAAGGCUUGAGUGCGGCAGAGGGGGAUGGAAUUCCGCGUGUAGCAGUGAAAUGCGUAGAUAUGCGGAGGAACACCGAUGGCGAAGGCAAUCCCCUGGGCCUGCACUGACGCUCAUGCACGAAAGCGUGGGGAGCAAACAGGAUUAGAUACCCUGGUAGUCCACGCCCUAAACGAUGUCAACUGGUUGUUGGGAAGGUUCCUUCUCAGUAACGUAGCUAACGCGUGAAGUUGACCGCCUGGGGAGUACGGCCGCAAGGUUGAAACUUAAA
RNAcentral lists this ribosomal RNA (557 nucleotides) under uncultured bacterium. RNAcentral describes it as "partial 16S ribosomal RNA". It matches the Rfam family "Bacterial small subunit ribosomal RNA", at positions 355 to 905 of the family's 1533-position model. The record is from RNAcentral.